RNAcentral lists this ribosomal RNA (355 nucleotides) under uncultured bacterium. RNAcentral describes it as "bacterial SSU rRNA". It matches the Rfam family "Bacterial small subunit ribosomal RNA", at positions 527 to 881 of the family's 1533-position model. The record is from RNAcentral.
GAAGGUGGCAAGCGUUAUUCGGAUUUACUGGGCGUACAGGGAGCGUAGGCGGUUCGGUAAGCCCUCUGUGAAAUCUUCAGGCUUAACCUGGAAAAGUCGGAGGGGACUGCCGGGCUAGAGGACGGGAGAGGAGCGCGGAAUUCCCGGUGUAGCGGUGAGAUGCGUAGAGAUCGGGAGGAAGGCCGGUGGCGAAGGCGGCGCUCUGGAACGUUUCUGACGCUGAGGCUCGAAAGCGUGGGGAGCAAACAGGAUUAGAUACCCUGGUAGUCCACGCCUUAAACUAUGAAUACUAGGUGUCGGGGAGCAUUGCUCUUCGGUGCCGCAGCAAACGCAAUAAGUAUUCCACCUGGGGAGU